GAUGAACGCUGGCGGCGUGCCUAAUACAUGCAAGUCGAGCGAACGGACGAGAAGCUUGCUUCUCUGAUGUUAGCGGCGGACGGGUGAGUAACACGUGGAUAACCUACCUAUAAGACUGGGAUAACUUCGGGAAACCGGAGCUAAUACCGGAUAAUAUUUUGAACCGCAUGGUUCAAAAGUGAAAGACGGUCUUGCUGUCACUUAUAGAUGGAUCCGCGCUGCAUUAGCUAGUUGGUAAGGUAACGGCUUACCAAGGCAACGAUGCAUAGCCGACCUGAGAGGGUGAUCGGCCACACUGGAACUGAGACACGGUCCAGACUCCUACGGGAGGCAGCAGUAGGGAAUCUUCCGCAAUGGGCGAAAGCCUGACGGAGCAACGCCGCGUAAGUGAUGAAGGUCUUCGGAUCGUAAAACUCUGUUAUUAGGGAAGAACAUAUGUGUAAGUAACUGUGCACAUCUUGACGGUACCUAAUCAGAAAGCCACGGCUAACUACGU
This 496-nucleotide ribosomal RNA is filed under the name uncultured bacterium. RNAcentral's name for it is "partial 16S ribosomal RNA". It matches the Rfam family "Bacterial small subunit ribosomal RNA", at positions 28 to 506 of the family's 1533-position model. The record is from RNAcentral.